Helianthus annuus (common sunflower) is the source of this 2896-nucleotide RNA transcript. It is a transcript of the gene named non-specific lipid-transfer protein Lac s 1-like, with no coding region annotated. Lineage: Eukaryota; Viridiplantae; Streptophyta; Magnoliopsida; Asterales; Asteraceae. The transcript is spliced from 5 exons. The record is from RefSeq and is a predicted model, not a curated record.
GAGGGAAUGAACAGUACCAAAACACCCUGGCACUCUUCAUUGGACCAUACAUAAACAGAUCCAUUGAUGGCCACGUUAUCCCCACAUGUCUCUCAAUACCUCCACCGCUUCAUCUUCGAUUUAUCCUUCAACAAUCUUUGCCUCAAUAUCUCCAACGGGUGACUGAACUCUCUCACGACAGCCGCUAACCCGGCGACUCUAGCGACGAUGGUGACUGAUGGUGGUCUAACCGAAGAUGACCUAGGGCUCCACUGCAAACCCUAUUGGUGGUGGUUUAUCUUCGUCGUUCGCCGGAAUUUACAGCGGUUUGUACGGUGGCUAUGGCUGCGAUUCCGUAUCACAGAAAACAUUCAUCAUUUAUUAAAUGUGGUUGCUAUUGUGGCUGCUGCAAAAGGCCAUUGAAGAUAAACUAGCUGCUUGUAAUUGCCUCAAGUCGGCUUCGAGAAGCCUAAACCCAAAUCCAGCGCUAGCUAAAACACUUCCUGGAAAUUGUGGGAUCAGUUUGGGUUUCACCAUGUCAGCUAACAUUGAUUGCACCAAGUAAAUUGCUAAUCUCCUUUUGUAGAUAUAGACAGAAGAAUUAGCAUAGUAAUUGGUUACACAGAUGGAUAUUGAUUCAUCUGAAUAUGACCAUAUGUCAUCAUUAAGAUCUGUCAAUUUUUACUAAGAACCAUUUGUGUUAAUUUUACUUUAGAUUGUUUAGAUUUGUUUCGUAUUGUUGCAUUUUGAAAAACCUAAUUUUGUCACAGUGAGAUUUUAGGUUACUUUGUAGUAUCUAUUUUCGGAUUGCUGUUGUUAAUAUUAAUAAGCUUCAAGUCAUCCGGUACCUCGUCAGCUCAUCUCCAUUGUAGAUCGUCUUCAUAGAAACUUUCACCGAUCGACUCUAAUUUUAAGUUGAUUUUGAUACAUUCGCCUUUAGGAUGUUGCUGCGCAACCAAAACCGACGCCAAUCAGGUGUAAUCAUCUCGGUUUCUGUCAAUAUUAGGUUUACCAGAUCGUAUCUGACUUAAUUUGAUUUGUGAUUGUUUUGGUGGAUUAGAUGGUGAUGAUGAACGGGUUGGAUUCCGGUAAGAUAAUACUCUGUCGUCGUUGUGUAAUUUUACCCAAAUCUGGGUGUUUCCGAUUAAUGGCAAUGCGACAUCAUUUGUUUUGGGGAAGUUAGGGGAUAAUAAAUGAUAGUGUGUUUGUGGAGGAUUCGAUGCUAUGUUGAACGGUGUACCAUCUUUAUUAUUCGGGGAUGUCUCUACUCAGCAAGAUAUAGGGAAAUUAGAUUGGAUGUAGAUAUUGACGACCAUGAAAAUAAACAAGCCGAGUGGUCCAUUUCUAUAGGCAUAUACUGUUGGUAACCUUUUUUUGGAGAGCCACAAAAGGCCAUGGAUGAAUACCCGGCACAAAUCGCAACUUUGGUGAAAGAAGACGAGUAUUCGAAGAUUAGCUGUCGACUUUUACAUAUAUUCCGUAUAAUUUAUAAACUUCGUAUAAAAUCAUAUUUUUAUUGACCGAUGGAGAUGCUUUUUUUUUGUUAUAAAUGUAUAUGAGUCUACUUCAUUUAAGUUUUAAACGUAAAUAAUGAUUAUAAAUUUUAUUAUGGUCAAAGCUGUGUAAUACAACAUGCUAUAUUUGUUGGAUGAAAUGGGGCAGGGAUGAUAUCGCCAUAUCGGUAUGGUUUUGAUGUCGAACCUCAAAAAAUCAUUUUUGGGAUACCAUUGUUAGUCACAACAGUUUCUUUAAAACACUCAAGCUAAAUUUUAUAAGACUAAGAUUCUAUUCUAUGGUUCCACAGAUUCGUACUUCUUUUUAUAAAAGGGAGGACGAGGAACCAAUUGACGAGAAGAAUUACUUUGAAGAAUUAUGCAAGCCCAGGUGUGUUCAAGCUUGGCAUGAGUCUCAGAGGAUAAACAUGAGAAAGAUAAACCGAUCAAAAGAUUUGGAGUUGCUGAUUCUGUUUAAAGAAGUGAUGAAAAUGGAGGGCUUGCAUUUCUCUUGAGAGAUGCAGGUUCGACUCCCACUUGGUGCAGGGUGAGGCACUGGUGGCAAUGAUAGGAGACCCAGGGAAACCUGGGUUGGAUCCUUGAGCCAAACGGGUUUUACCGGUAAUUUCACUGUCGUGCCUACGGGCGGGUGAGUUACCGGCUUUUCCCCGGAAUUGGUGGUGGACUCGGGUUACUCUCGGAGUACUCUGUUUGUCCAGUGGGUGUCCCGAGAGUGCUCGGGAUUGAGUUUGUUGGCCGUUCAAAAAAAAAAGAAGUGAUGAAAAUGGAUCUUUUAUCACACUUAUUGUGUCAAAUUAAAGAACCGGAAAUUGAUCAUCACAGGUUUGGUUAUGCUUACAUACAUCUACAAAUGGAAUUAAUCGAACUGCAAUGAUUCUCCUUUAGUGCUUUCACACAUGAUUGGUGUAUUUGGCCAGCGAAUGAUAAAACUCCCCCAUCCAAGAAAGGCGAGAACCAUGGCAGCAGCUAGAACAUCAAACACCUAUUUAUCAACAAGAACCAGGAACCAACAUUUUUCUAACAACUGAUGUAUUGUGAAUGCAAAUAUAAAACCCCCAUCCCACUGCCAAGACAAAAAUACCAAACGCUUGCGCAACGCAAGAUAAGCAGAUCUCCGUGUCCAAGGUUUUGGAAGAUAUAAAAGUUUUGGCGUUUAUGUGCGUCAAAAGCCAAUCAAAGGCUGCUGCUCUCUUUGGGAUAUUUGGUGUAGGUUUAGCUUGGAAUGUCUAAAGUGAUAAGGUGGGAUGUAGUUGUUGUUGUCAGGUUUUGUGGUUGCUGGCUUCUCCAGUUUUGAUGCUACUGUUGUAGUUUUUUUUGUUGGAUGUAAUAGUUAGCUUUCUACAACCUCUUUUGGUUUUGUAAUAAAAAAUUCCGUCGGUUUUAGUUCGAGUUACUUUUUGUUA